RNAcentral lists this ribosomal RNA (450 nucleotides) under uncultured bacterium. Its description in RNAcentral is "bacterial SSU rRNA". It matches the Rfam family "Bacterial small subunit ribosomal RNA", at positions 328 to 794 of the family's 1533-position model. The record is from RNAcentral.
GGCCCAGACUCCUACGGGAGGCAGCAGUGGGGAAUAUUGCACAAUGGGGGAAACCCUGAUGCAGCAACGCCGCGUGGGUGAAGGAGGGUUUCGGCGCGUAAAGCCCUGUCAGCGGGGAAGAAGAAAGACGGUACCCGACCAAGAAGCCCCGGCUAACUACGUGCCAGCAGCCGCGGUAAUACGUAGGGGGCAAGCGUUAUCCGGAUUUACUGGGUGCAAAGGGAGCGUAGACGGCAGCGCAAGUCUGAAGUGAAAUGCCGGGGCUUAACCCCGGAGCUGCUUUGGAAACUGUGCAGCUAGAGUGCAGGAGAGGUAAGUGGAAUUCCUAGUGUAGCGGUGAAAUGCGUAGAUAUUAGGAGGAACACCAGUGGCGAAGGCGGCUUACUGGACUGUAACUGACGUUGAGGCUCGAAAGCGUGGGGAGCAAACAGGAUUAGAUACCCCGGUAUA